This is a long non-coding RNA of Oxyura jamaicensis (ruddy duck), 1860 nucleotides long. RefSeq lists it as uncharacterized. NCBI's taxonomy places the organism in Eukaryota, Metazoa, Chordata, Aves, Anseriformes, Anatidae. The transcript has 4 exons. The record is from RefSeq and is a predicted model, not a curated record.
AGAGCAAACUCCAUUUGCAGAAGUACUUUUGACUUGGGUUGAAACCAAACUGGAUGUGGAAAAUUUCUUUCAAACUCCAUAGGUAGUGAUGGGGAAUGAGAAAAAAAGAAAUAAUCUUUUAUAGGCUUAGGGUUUGCAUUUAACUGAGAUUAUUUUUCUGUGCCUGUCAGUUUAUUGUGCUGUGGGUUAUUUUCUAGCUAGGUCAGUGGUUUGUGGGUAUCUAGUCAAAUGAGUGGUAAACUCUUGCUCUGAAUGCAAUGCUUCAACACAGUUCCCUGGAUUUACACUGAUAUAAACCUCUUGGAAAUUGUGCUUUCUCUGCGGACCUAACAGAGGUUACAAACAGUACUUCUGAAAUCAGCAUUUAAAUAACAUUUCAAAACCACUAGAAACCUCAUUAUCCUGAAUAUAUAGUUUUAGUAGUCUUACAAGCAGUGAAAAUGCAGCGAACCAAAAGUGCAACUUGUAACUGGGCAAAAGCAACACUACUGCCUAAAUACUAUGCUGAUAAACAUCCAAUUAACCACUAGGUACCCUGACAUAUCAGUGUGUUUGCUGAAGCUUGGUAAGUGUGGGGACACCCUGAACCAUAUAAUGGAGGUGUGCCUACAUCCUUGCAGAACCUCAGCCCUCUUCUAGUCUUCACCAUAUGAUGACAUUGUACCAAGAUAUCUGCUGUCUAUGCAACCUGUUUCUGGAAACAAAGAGUUUGACUUGGUGGACCCUAAUGAUGGUGUUUAAAAAAGCACCCUCAUAUCUGCCAGGUACAGAUUAAGUGUGAUGGCAUAAGAUGUGACAAGGCCUGGACUUUGCAUGGAGGUUGAUGAGGUGUGGGCACACCUACCCUUCUCCCCAGCAUCUCUUGGGUAGGUACCAAGCAUCUGGCAGGGGUGAUACUUUCUGCAGUGCUCUUGGACACUGGAAGUACUUUAACUUCAAAGACAUCAUGCCCAGCGAGGUGGGGCUCCUCAUCUGGGUGAAACACCUGCCCGUGUGUAAUCACAGCCCCUCUGUUUUAGUGAGGUCUCUCUCACAUGCCCUCCCUAUUUCUAUGGAACGGGUUUUGCCCUUUUUAUUUAUUUAUUUAUUUGGUAAUUGAUGUUUUGUCUUUUGUUCUCUUUUUCUUCAGGGCCAGAUGGCAACCCAAGACCUAUCCCUCCUACUUAUCCCAGUGACUCUUUGGCACCAGAGGAAAAAACUUCUGCAAGAAGCCUGUUUCUACAGUCUCUAAACUCCAGAGACUAGACAACAGUUUUUCUAUCUUCUUUGCUGUAGUUUAUUUCUUUACCCUCCCUCCUAUGUGUUUUACUAAUUCUUUGUUUUUCCCAUCUCCUUUACCAGCACUUUCUGUAGGCUGCAUUUUUUUUUUUCCUUCUGUGUAAAGCAGCAUGAUUCACGGGAUAUGCCUUUGUAGCUCCUGCUUAGGGACCUCUCCUGGUUCCUCACCUUAUGUUCUCCACUGAUCAGAGCCAUUGGUGUUUAGAUGCUCAGCAGAGGUGAUUGCACAGCCUUUGACACCUCACAUCCCCUGCUGCCUGGAUUUGAAAGAGUAAAGCAACUUCUGGAUUGUUUCAAAUGCGCUGGCAACAUAAAUAGCAACAGUUUUCCAGAUGAAGAAAUGUAUGUGGGAUAUGUUAAAUGACACUUCUCUGUGUGCUAUGAUUCAGUGGGUCUCCAGCAUCAGCAAACUGAUCAGAAACUUCAGGACUGAGCCAACACUUCCAAAAUUAGUGGGCCUUAUUUUGAGGGUGGCCCUGGUCGCAACGUGUGCCCUGUGAAGACCGGCAGUUUGAGGAGCACCGGGCUGUAGCUCAUGUUUACUUAUCUGAGUUUCAUUGCUUCAGCCAGUCCCAUGACAAA